GUGAGCGAGGGGUGCCUUUCGGGGAGCCGUAAGACAGGUGCUGCAUGGCUGUCGUCAGCUCGUGUCGUGAGAUGUUGGGUUAAGUCCCGCAACGAGCGCAACCCUCACCCUAUGUUGCCAACGGUUCGGCCGGGCACUCUUAGGGAACUGCCGGCGAAGAGCUGGAGGAAGGGGGGGAUGACGUCAAGUCCGUAUGCCCCUUAUGUCCAGGGCUACACACAUGCUACAAUGGUCGGUACAGAGGGUUGCCAACCCGCAAGGGGGAGCCAAUCCCAGAAAGCCGAUCUCAGUUCGGAUUGUAGGCUGCAACUCGCCUACAUGAAGUAGGAAUCGCUAGUAAGCGCAGAUCAGCAGGCUGCGCUGAAUACGUUCCCGGGCCUUGUACACACCGCCCGUCACACCACGAAAGCCAGCUGUACCAGAAGUCGCUGAGCUAACCGCAAGGAUGCAGGCGCCCAAGGUAUGAUUGGUGAUUGGGGUGAAGUCGUAACAAGGUAACCGU
Molecule: ribosomal RNA, 502 nt
Filed under: uncultured Actinomycetes bacterium
Lineage: Bacteria; Bacillati; Actinomycetota; Actinomycetes
Description: bacterial SSU rRNA
Rfam family: Bacterial small subunit ribosomal RNA
Source: RNAcentral